Molecule: ribosomal RNA, 109 nt
Filed under: Nocardia farcinica
Lineage: Bacteria; Bacillati; Actinomycetota; Actinomycetes; Mycobacteriales; Nocardiaceae
Description: partial 16S ribosomal RNA
Rfam family: Bacterial small subunit ribosomal RNA
Source: RNAcentral
UCAACGGAGAGUUUGAUCCUGGCUCAGGACGAACGCUGGCGGCGUGCUUAACACAUGCAAGUCGAGCGGUAAGGCCCUUCGGGGUACACGAGCGGCGAACGGGUGAGUA